RNAcentral lists this ribosomal RNA (301 nucleotides) under uncultured bacterium. RNAcentral's name for it is "bacterial SSU rRNA". It matches the Rfam family "Bacterial small subunit ribosomal RNA", at positions 184 to 500 of the family's 1533-position model. The record is from RNAcentral.
UGGUUAGAGGCGAUUAGACUGAAGGAGCAAUCCGCUUCGGGAGGGGCCUGCGUCCCAUCAGCUAGUUGGUAGGGUAAAGGCCUACCAAGGCGACGACGGGUAGGGGACCUGAGAGGGUGACCCCCCACACUGGCACUGAAACACGGGCCAGACACCUACGGGUGGCAGCAGUAGGGAAUAUUGCACAAUGGGCGAAAGCCUGAUGCAGCAACGCCGCGUGCGCGAUGAAGGCCUUCGGGUUGUAAAGCGCUUUUCUGGAGGACGAGGAAGGACGGUACUUCCAGGAAUAAGGCUCGGCUAA